This 918-nucleotide ribosomal RNA is filed under the name uncultured bacterium. RNAcentral describes it as "bacterial SSU rRNA". It matches the Rfam family "Bacterial small subunit ribosomal RNA", at positions 246 to 1155 of the family's 1533-position model. The record is from RNAcentral.
UAGUUGGGGGGGUAAAGGCCCACCAAGGCGACGAUCCGUAGCUGGUCUGAGAGGAUGAUCAGCCACACCGGAACUGAGACACGGUCCGGACUCCUACGGGAGGCAGCAGUGGGGAAUAUUGGACAAUGGGGGCAACCCUGAUCCAGCCAUGCCGCGUGUGUGAAGAAGGCCUUCGGGUUGUAAAGCACUUUAGGUCGGGAGGAAGGUUCGCUGGCUAAUAUCCAGCGGAAUUGACGUUACCGACAGAAUAAGCACCGGCUAACUCCGUGCCAGCAGCCGCGGUAAUACGGAGGGUGCAAGCGUUAAUCGGAAUUACUGGGCGUAAAGCGCGCGUAGGCGGCUUGGUAAGUCGGAUGUGAAAGCCCUGGGCUCAACCUGGGAACUGCAUUCGAUACUGUCAGGCUAGAGUGUGGGAGAGGGUGGUGGAAUUCCCGGUGUAGCGGUGAAAUGCGUAGAUAUCGGGAGGAACAUCAGUGGCGAAGGCGACCGCCUGGCCCAACACUGACGCUGAGGUGCGAAAGCGUGGGUAGCAAACAGGAUUAGAUACCCUGGUAGUCCACGCCGUAAACGAUGUCGACUAGCCGUUGGAGACCUUAGAGUUUUUAGUGGCGCAGCUAACGCGAUAAGUCGACCGCCUGGGGAGUACGGCCGCAAGGUUAAAACUCAAAUGAAUUGACGGGGGCCCGCACAAGCGGUGGAGCAUGUGGUUUAAUUCGAUGCAACGCGAAGAACCUUACCACCCCUUGACAUCCUGCGAACUUGGUAGAGAUACCUUGGUGCCUUCGGGAGCGCAGAGACAGGUGCUGCAUGGCUGUCGUCAGCUCGUGUUGUGAAAUGUUGGGUUAAGUCCCGUAACGAGCGCAACCCUUGUCCUUAGUUGCCAGCGAGUAAUGUCGGGAACUCUAAGGAGACUGCCGG